GAAAUGCGAUAAGUAGUGUGAAUUGCAGAAUUCAGUGAAUCAUCGAAUCUUUGAACGCACAUUGCGCCCUUCGGUAUUCCUUAGGGCAUGCCUGUUCGAGCGUCAUCUAAACCUUCAAGCCCUGCUUGGUGUUGGGUGCCUGUCCCGCCUCCGCGCGCGGACUCACCUCAAAUCCAUUGGCGGCCCCCGCGUCGGCCACGAGCGCAGCAGAAACGCGAACUCGUGAGCCCGUCCGGGCGGCUCCCAGAAGCUACACCCACCCAGUUUGACCUCGGAUCAGGUAGGGAUACCCGCUGAACUUAAGC
Molecule: unclassified non-coding RNA, 305 nt
Filed under: plant metagenome
Description: partial contains 5.8S ribosomal RNA, internal transcribed spacer 2, and large subunit ribosomal RNA
Rfam family: 5.8S ribosomal RNA (bases 1-105)
Source: RNAcentral